This 527-nucleotide long non-coding RNA is filed under the name Brassica napus (rape). Its description in RNAcentral is "long non-coding RNA (BNAP_LNC019712)". Lineage: Eukaryota; Viridiplantae; Streptophyta; Magnoliopsida; Brassicales; Brassicaceae. The record is from RNAcentral.
AUCAAUUAAAGGAAACAGAACUUACGGUGGAUGCAAAAUUAGACUCUAUGCUAAUAAUAUCCUCGUAGGAAAGCUUAUCAGAUCAUUUUCAAUUCCUGCACCUCAUGGUAGUUACGCCUUCUCUCAGUUUCUAACCCAAAAGAAACCCAAUGUCUGGAACAGCCUCCAUCAACCAAAUCUGAAGUGUAUACGAGACUCCAUCUACGACAUAACUCUUUUGCGUUUUCACUUUAUCCCUAACUUUGAUAGUGGAACUCACCAGCAUAUCAAAAGAGUGAAGACCCUACGGAUAUUUCCUCAUCUUCUCGAAAUCCAUCACCAGCUUGAUGUACUUGUGUGGGAUCAACAUCUUCUCAUCCUUCGCCAUAAGAAUACCGACAAUCACACACAAAUACACAAAACUCAGCCUAUCAACACGAGACCAGGUAUUACACAACUUCAGAUGUACCUUCCUGAUUUGCUGAACCGAACCGAAAUAUUUUUGUCUCCUUAGCAACUUACUCCAAAACCCUCGAUCAUAUUCCCAG